GCCCUGGCAGUCACACGGCCUACUCUCUCACAGCUUCCGCCACGGCCCCGGAAGUCUACGCUCUGUCUCCCAGCUGUGGGGACACACCUAGUGCCACAGUGGUCGUGGGCUGCCUGGUCUCACGCUAUGUCCCUGAGCCAGUGACCGUGACCUGGAACUCGGGCAUCCUACCCAGCAGCGUGCACACCUUCCCAUCCGUCCGAGGGUCCUCGGGGCUGUACUCUCUCAGCAGCACUGUGACCGUGCCUGCCAGCACCUCGUCCGGCAAGACCUUCACCUGCAACAUAGCCCACCCGGCCAGCAGCACCAAGGUGGACAAGCGCAUCGAAAUCAACGGCCCAAACCCCCGUUCCAGGUGUCCCAAAUGUCCACCCUGUGAGCUCCCAGGAGGACCGUCCGUCUUCAUCUUCCCCCCGAAACCCAGGGACACCCUCACAAUGUCCCGAAAACCGGAAGUCUCCUGCAUGGUGGUGGAUGUGAGCAAGGAGGACACCGAUGUCCAGUUCUCCUGGUAUGUGGACGAUGUAGAGGUGCACACGGCCAAGACGAAGCCAAGGGAGGAGCAAUUCAACAGCACCUACCGUGUGGUCAGCGCCCUGCCCAUCCAGCACCAGGACUGGCUGCAGGGAAAGGAGUUCAAGUGCAAGGUCAACGACAAAGGCCUCCCGGCCCCCAUCGUGAGGACCAUCUCCAAGGCCAAAGGGCAGCCCCGGGAGCCGCAGGUGUACGUACUGGGCCCAGCACAGGAAGAGCUGGCCAAGAGCUCGGUCAGCGUCAGCAUAACCUGCAUGGUCACCGACUUCUACCCGAGCGACAUCGACGUGGAGUGGCAGAGAAACGGGCAGCCGGAGCCACAGGGCAACUAUGGCACGACCCCACCCCAGCUGGAGGCCGACGGGUCCUUCUUCCUGUACAGCAAGCUCAGGGUGGACAAGAAGAGCUGGCAGCAGGGAGACACCUACACGUGUGUAGUGUUGCACGAGGCUCUACGCAAUCACAACACGCAGAAGUCCAUCACCCAGUCUUUGGAGCUGCUGCUAGAGGAGGAGACCUGUGCUGAUGCCCAAGACGGGGAGCUGGACGGGCUGUGGACGACCAUCUCCAUCUUCAUCACCCUCUUCCUGCUCAGCGUGUGCUACAGCGCCACCGUGACGCUCUUCAAGGUGAAGUGGAUCUUCUCGUCGGUGGUGGAGCUGAAGCAGACGAUUGUCCCCGACUACAGGAACCUGGUCGGACAGGGUGCCUAGUGCUCACUACGGGCUGCGUCCUGGGCCGCCCCUGACCUAUAGGACCACGUCUAUCCCCCUGUGCCGCUCAGCCUGCGCCAGGCCUCUCCUCCGCCCGCUGACCUCGCCAGCCUCUGAGCUCACGAGCACCCUCACCUGCACCCCCGGCCUCUGGCCUCGUGGCCACCACAACCUGCCCCCCACCCCACUCACAGACCCGAGGGGACCGCAGGUGAUGCCCAACCUGAGCUGAUGUCCCCGCAGGACACCUCCGGGACCCCAGGGACCACCGGGAACGCCCGGGUCGGCGUGGGGGUCCCCCUCGAACAGGAGGAGGAGGCCGGCGUCUGGGCCUCUGCACAGGGCCUGGCCCCUGCAUCUUGUCCCGGCCGAGCUCCAGACGCAGGGUCCCCGGGAGGAGGGCCUGUGCCAGAUGCUGGAGGGGAGCCGCCCACCUCUCCCAGCAGGAGAGCUUCUGCAGGUGCCGCUAAUGGUCCCUCAGGUCACCUCCACCGUGGACGCUGCUCAGAGCAAGGCCUGGGCCCGAGGCCGCUGCAGGAGCCCCAGCACGGGAGGCGGUGAGGUCCAGCCAGACCGGCCUCCCGGGGAGCACGCUGUUGACCUGGUGCCCCACGGGCUGAGCUGGAGGGGCUCCCUGAAAAGAGGGCAGAAGGCGCGGCCAGCCCAUCCUGCAGCCAAAGGCCUGAGGCACGUACAGCAGGAGCUCCGCCUGCACCGGGGUGGGGGUGAGAGACGCGACCCGCGUAGGGCCAGCCUCGGACCCCGAGCCCCCGCCUCAGGGCCUGGUACCAGCUCUCCGGUCUCUGCGGAAAAGCGCAGUCAGCAUGCGCGUGUGGUGGAGCUGCUCCCGGACUGGAGAGAAGGGCCCCGUGAUCGCAGCUCGGGAGGCUUUUCUCCUUCUGAACGUGGGGCCCGUCGAUGCUCUUCGCUGUGUCUUCAUUUUGUUACGACAAUAAAGCGUUCUUUACAGUC
This is a non-coding RNA of Aethalodelphis obliquidens (Pacific white-sided dolphin), 2219 nucleotides long. The record is from the annotation of a RefSeq genome assembly. Lineage: Eukaryota; Metazoa; Chordata; Mammalia; Artiodactyla; Delphinidae.